CCUACGGGCGGCAGCAGUCGAGAAUCAUUCACAAUGGGGGAAACCCUGAUGGUGCGACGCCGCGUGGGGGAAUGAAGGUCUUCGGAUUGUAAACCCCUGUCAUGUGGGAGCAAAUUAAAAAGAUAGUACCACACUAGGAAGAGACGGCUAACUCUGUGCCAGCAGCCGCGGUAAUACAGAGGUCUCAAGCGUUGUUCGGAAUCACUGGGCGUAAAGCGUGCGUAGGCUGUUUCGUAAGUCGUGUGUGAAAGGCGCGGGCUCAACCCGCGGACGGCACAUGAUACUGCGAGACUAGAGUAAUGGAGGGGGAACCGGAAUUCUCGGUGUAGCAGUGAAAUGCGUAGAUAUCGAGAGGAACACUCGUGGCGAAGGCGGGUUCCUGGACAUUAACUGACGCUGAGGCACGAAGGCCAGGGGAGCGAAAGGGAUUAGAUACCCCUGUAGUC
This 446-nucleotide ribosomal RNA is filed under the name uncultured bacterium. RNAcentral's name for it is "partial 16S ribosomal RNA". It matches the Rfam family "Bacterial small subunit ribosomal RNA", at positions 338 to 795 of the family's 1533-position model. The record is from RNAcentral.